CAAGUCGUACGCACAGCAAUGUGAGUGGCGCAAGGGUGAGUAAUGCGAAGGUAACCAACCCUGGAGUUGGGCAUAGCCGCGGGAAACUGCGGGUAAUUCCCAGCGAUGUCGCGAGAUGGCAUCAUCUUGCGACCAAAGGUGUGAUUCCGCUCUAGGACGGGUCUUCGUGGUAUUAGGUAGUUGGUGAGGUAACGGCUCACCAAGCCGACGAUGCCUACCGGGUGUGAGAGCAUGACCCGGCACACUGGAACUGAGACACUGUCCAGACACCUACGGGUGGCUGCAGUCGAGAAUCUUCGGCAAUGGGCGAAAGCCUGACCGAGCAACGCCGCGUGAGGGAAGAAGGCCUUCGGGUUGUAAACCUCUUUCGUAGAGGAGGAAGGGGCCGUGCAGAGCGGUCCUUGACCUAUUCUAGGAAGAAGCUUGGGCUAAGUUCGUGCCAGCAGCCGCGGUAAGACGAACCAAGCGAACGUUAUUCGGAAUUACUGGGCUUAAAGCGCGUGUAGGCGGAUGACCACGUCAGUCGUUGAAAUCCCCCGGCUCAACCGGGGAACAGGCGCUGAUACGAGUUGUCUGGAGGUGGGUAGGGGAGACUGGAACUUCCGGUGGAGCGGUGAAAUGCGUUGAGAUCGGAAGGAACGCCCGCGGCGAAAGCGAGUCUCUGGACCCAUUCUGACGCUAAGACGCGAAAGCCAGGGGAGCAAACGGGAUUAGAUACCCCGGUAGUCCUGGCUGUAAACAUUGGGCACUGGGUAGUGGAACCGCCGAUGGUUUCACUGCCGCAGGGAAACCGUGAAGUGCCCCGCCUGGGGAGUAUGGUCGCAAAGCUGAAACUCAAACGAAUUGACGG
Molecule: ribosomal RNA, 850 nt
Filed under: uncultured bacterium
Lineage: Bacteria
Description: bacterial SSU rRNA
Rfam family: Bacterial small subunit ribosomal RNA
Source: RNAcentral